GCUCUGUUCUGUUGUUCAGUGCGGGGGGGGGGGGGGGGUUGGAAAUCACAGUGUGUGGGCAGGCUUAUUACUGAGGUCAGUCUAAAUAGCCUGCAGAUGUUUGGCUACUUUUAAUACCUGCUAACAGGAUUGUGAUACUUGCCUACAUCAAGUCUGGUUUUUUGUUUCAGUCCUGACAUCUACUUUUCUAGAUUGUAUUUAUGAGAUUGAGUCUUAUCAUAUCUGAUUAUUUAUUUAGCUGGGUUAAUGAUUACCAAAGUUCAAGAGAAUUAUUUGAAAUAAAGAUUUCAUCCUUUUAGGAUGGAAGGGUGGUUUGUAUUUCCCUACCUGGGAUUUGGACAGCACCAUUUAUUCACUUUGCAGUAGAGCUGUGCAAAUAUCAUUGUAUGAUGUUAUUGCAGUUAUUUAGUUACCAGUUUCAUUUAAAGUUAGUGUUUAAUAUAUGAAAUAGAUAACUCCGAACAUUUAUUUCAAAAAUGAAAUUUGUUUCUUUUAGAAUUUUUUUUACUGGUUUGGAAAUUCUGAAUGACUCCUGUGGCUGAGUCUUAAAAUAUUCUUUGACAGCCUGCUGUCUCACAAAAGUUGUUGGCUCCUUAUUCACUGUGGCUUUUUCAGGCUUAAACAGGUCUCCUUGUAGGAAGUAUACUUUUUGUUAUUUUUCAUGGAGUUUGGCUUCCUAAAUUGUGUAGACUGAGGGUUCUGAGCCUGGGGGCCCUAUGGUCUUCCAGAGAUCAUGGAAGACAGUGUGACUAUUUAGGCUUUGUUUCUUUAAUUGUGAAAAACACUUACUUUACCAUUGAUAGAAUUUCCAUUUUUAGGACUAACAUACUAAAUGCCUUUCUUUACUUUUUGCAAGAAGUUUGCUAGGGUUUUAUUCUCAUGCUACUGAAAGCCAUUGAUUGCUACAUGUGCUUUUAAUAGUAACUUAGCUAUCUUGAGAGAAACCUCAUCUCUCAAGGCCACCUUUUGUGUUUCUACUUUUUCUUUUGGUAACCUGUUGCUACUUUUGCAAAAAGUGGAUGAAAUUAUACACAAAGAAGGGAAAACAAGUUAUGCCACUUUGGGCAAACCAAGAAAUAAUGCGCUAAUCGUUACUUAUUGUGAAUACCUUACUGGAGAAAUCUACAACCAUGGAAGGUGACGGUAAGUUUCUGUCUGGUUACGGCAGCGGGAGCAACACUGAUCCUAUUCAACACUUACAGGAGGUGUUGGAUUGGGACCAGGAAAACUAGCUCGGGUCUUAGUGUUAGGCAGGUAAUUAGGCAAGUAUUGUCUAAAUCAGUUCCUUCAGUCCAAAGUGGUGACUUUUCCGUCAGUUCACAAAUCCCUCAGGUCUGUGAACACAGAGAGAAGUGAUUUGAGUGAAGAUGCUGGGAAAUUGUGUAAAGAGAAGGCAUUCACGUGACUACAUAUUUUGAUUAAAAAGUUUUUGUAGGACUGAAGAUGUAGCUCAUUGGUAGAAAAUAAUACUUCCAUAGCAUGUGCAGGGUCUUGGAUUCAAUCCCCAGCCCUAGAAAAAAAAGUUUUUUUUCUUGUAAAUUUUUUCAUUAAUUUUUAUGAUAGAUCCAUGUUUACCUUAGAAAACAGAUCUCAGAAGUUAUGGUGUUCACCAUUAGUAAAGAAACAAAUCAAAAUAUACAUAUUUACCUCAAAUUUGGCUUUCCAGAAAUAUGCUUUAUGCUCAUUGCCUUUCUGGAGCUUUAAAACAUGUAUAAUUUUGUUGGUUUGUGGGAGAAGGAAUACAUGGUCAUUAUAAGGAAUUGCAUGAAAUGGGAACGUACAAGGAAAAAGUCAAAGCUGUCUAGAACUCCACUCCCCAGAGAUGGACACCAGGACCUGGUGGGUGAAUGUUCUCCAGAGAGCUCUGUACACAUACAUGUUUGCUCAGGGAUGUGUUUUACAUAAAUGGAAAGAUCUCUCCUUGCUAUUUGGUAAGCUUUUCUCACUGAAUUCUAUAUUGAAGAUGCCAUUUUAUUUCAGUGAUCGUAUAUUUCCUGAUCAUAUUUUUCCUGGCUGCCUCAUUGUGUAGAUGGAUCAUAACACAUGUAAUCACCUCUCUCUUGUAUGUUGUUUUGUUUAGCUUUCUACCUGUGAUUUAUGGUAAUUCUUUGUAAGUAAGAAUCUUGGAUGAAAGGAUGUAUACUUCAUACAGUACUUUGAUAUGUGUUAACAACAUGAUCUGGAAUAUCGUGGUCCUAGUGACAACACAUAAAGGCUCACACAUUGAGUUAAUUUUCCUGGAUCUUAGUUCUCUUAGUAACUAACAAACUUGUUUGUAAUGUUGCUUGUCCACCUCUGCUCUUAAAUUAUUUGCAUAUGUGUUAGAAAGUGAAUGCACAGAAAAGUUAGCACCCUGAACAUACACAUUCUCUUAAACGUGCAGUUGCAGAGAGUAAUACUUUGUCUAUCUUGCGGAAAACGUUAGUCAUCAUUAUCACUUUCCUUGUCUAAAGGUUCAAAGUCAUCAGAAAAGUAUACAGAGAUGACAGCACACUGAAUGGGAAUCUAAAUGGCAGUGGCCCAAAGACAUUCCUUUUUUUUUUAAUAUGUACCCCCCAUCUUGGAACUUAAUUUUCAUGACAGUGUACAAUUAGGUAUAUUUAUUAACUAGCUCCUUACACCUUUUAGUAAAUUCUAAUGUGGGAGGUGGGAGAAUGAGUUAAAGAUGGGUUGGGGCAGACUCAGUUCACUUGAACACACAGAAUCCGGCUUCUGCAGCCUGUUGGUAAAUGGCUUACUGUUAGGGAGAGCUGACAUUGCUGUGGAUGACGGAUGGAAGUUACAGAAUUAUGCUUCUGGUCAGACCCAUGCUAAAACAGUGGCACUCCAACCAGCACUAAUGCUGGGGAGGCACUGGAAGCGGAGUGAACGUUGGACACACAGAGAGGAGCAGGAAGCAGAUGACGGUGACACCUGCCAGGCUCCAUGAAAGUCAGUCACUUUUACCUGGCUUCCUAAUUGUUAGAAGUGGAAGAACUCAGGCAUCUCUAUUUGAAAACCUCAAAUAGGGGGGUAUGUUUCCAGCUUGUUUCUUCUAAUGCCUGCCAUUGUUUGGCAGAAUUGUUCAUCAGGCUUUGUGCAGUUGUGUCUACCACUGACCAGGACAUGGAAUAGGUCCAGCCUGCUUUUUCCUCUCUCCAUCUUCAUCAGGAAGUAUUAAGUAUAACGCCCUUCAGCGAUCCCUUCCUCCUCUGUCCCUCCCGAGUAAGCUAAUAACAGUAUCUUAUCAGUGAACACUUCUCUGUGGUCAUUAACACUGAUUCUGUAGUAGAUAGUGGGUAAAUGCUUUUUUAUGCAUCAGACCAUCUUUGCAUUUUUUAAUCAUCCAACCUGACCUCUGAAUCUGUGGUGGAGGGAAGUUGUUCAAGUCUUGGCAGGAAGGAGCACAGCCCCAGUUCUUCAGGGCUGACUGCCAACAAGGCACAAAUCCUGAGGUGCUUUGAAGAGAACCAGCACAGUUUUAAGAGAAAGAAGCCAUGUCUUCUACAGAGCCGCUGUUACUUGCUCUGAGGUUUUUGCCUCAUGUUGGGAAUUCUCUGUAGGAGCCAGGGAGAAAACAACACGAAGUGGUGAUAGUGGAGAACAGUGAAACCCUUGUUAGUUAAAAGAGAGAUGUGCCUUUUCCCUUCCAUCUGUUGUCACUUUACUGUGUUGCUAUCUAGAAGAUGAAGGAAGCCACCCUUCCUGCUUCUCAUGGGGGUUUGAAGAGUCUUGGGUCAGUUUGUUCCUGCAUGGAAGACCUCCCUGGGCCUGCUCUUCAGCACCUGAGGGGUUAGGAAGAGGCUGCCACGUGUCUCAGGCAGGUGAGGACGGUAAGGUUGUUUGAAUGAUGUCUCUUGAGUAACUGGCCUGGGAGAGCCCAUUCUACCUGGAAAUCUGAUGAAGUCACUGCUCUGAUGACAGCUGCAGGGCGUCCAGCUGCUUCUUUCUGUCUUCAGCUCCCAUCUCUUGCUAUAUUCCCUAUAUUCCGCUGCUGUUGACCUGUCAUAGCCACCCAAGUUGGCAGGACACCAUUCUCUCCCCAGACUCUGAGCACAAGCCCUGGAAUCUGUUCUGUGCGUGUCCCACAGCGGCCCUGUGGAGGAAGUCCCCAGUAUUCCAUUGGUUCGCUCCAAUGGGUGGUGGCGCUCAGCUCAAGUCAUAGAUGCAUCAUACAUUAAUGUGCUUUAUAGAAGAAGAAGGAAAAAAGUAAACUUCAUCUUGCAGAAGAGGUCACUUCUCUGUUUAAUUCCUUUUAGUGUUUUCCUGUUAUGUGUACUGUAACAGCUGAUCUCUCUGCCCAGUUUUAAGAAGCCCCCAUGAUUGGCGCUGCCUGCCUCUCCCUGCUCUGCUAGGAGUGUAUCCCAUCACCUCCCACCAUGCCCUUUCUAUUUCUCAAACCAUCCUAGCUUGUUUCUGCCUCAAAACCCUUUUUCUACUCCUUUCAGCCUGUGUUUCCUUGAUCGCCGCUCUCUAGGUCACAGCUCCAUAUUCCAGCCCAAGGAAGAUAAUGUUCUCUCAUAUCUUUCUCUUUUAUGUUUCUUCUAGCACUUUUAUCAACCAGGAUCAGCUGCUUUCCUUGUCUGGGCUUCCCUCUGCCUCAGAUAGCAGGUAUUUCAUCUGGCUUCUCCUUGCUGUCUGCUGGGCCCCGUAGUGAGUGCUGGGAAGAUAAUCCUUCAGUGGUGGCGUCCAGUGGAGGAAUACAGGUGCAGCCUUAUGCUUUACUGUCUUUUAGCCCCCACCCCUUCACACAGUUGUCACACAUAGUCGUAUUGCCUUCGCGGAAAUUCUGGCCCGGAGGAUUUGUCAUUUAGUGCCAGGGGGACUUCUGAGAAAUUCUGGAUCGUGAUGUAACCUCAGAGGAAGGAAUACAAGACUGAUGUUCAGCAAGCCUGCCGCGCACUUGGAAAGGGCAGCUGGUGGAAGGAAGCACUUUGCUGUGCAUUUUCCUGGCUUUUCCGCCAAAGCCAGUGUCCAUGUGUACACUGUGUACUCUGUCAACCGGUGACUUUUCUUUGGUCAUUCUCUCCUUAGCAUGCAAGUCCCUUAGCUUGUCCUUUAUCCCACUGGGUCGCUCUCAUCAGUAUUCAAGCAUACUAGCUUUCCCCUCUAUCCUAAAACACACAUUACAACUUGGGCACUCAACUUGUGGUUCCUCAUUUUUUGCUCUCCUGUGUAGUGAAGCACGUGAAAGGACUCUUGGGCCUCCUGAUUCCAAAUCCUCUCCUUUAUGCCUCCAAUCCAUCUCUUCUGUUCUUUGAAAACAUGCCAGUGUAGCAGAACUGUUCUUGCCACGAUCUGCUGUGACACCGCUUGUCACUGCUCGGUUCUCUGACUUAUCAGCAGGACCUGACAUACAUGGUCACCGCUGUUAGAAGUCACCGCUCUUUCUGCAUUGGCUCCUGACCGCCAUCCCCUUCUGGUUGCCUUUUAUCUCUGGUCAGGUUUUUUGUCUUCUGUUUUGCUUUCUCUUAUCUCUGACCUCAGUGUUGAAACCCUGAAGUCAAAGGUUUGUCAUUCUCUCCUGUCUCAUCCAGUGUCCUGGUUUUAACUGUAUUGAUGACUCUCCUGAGCACUGGAUUCUUGAAUCCCAGUCUACAUCACAUCUCCACUUAGGCGUCUAUCGAUUAUCAAACCUUACUAAAAACUGAGUAUCUAGUUUUUUUGUUUGUUUGUUUUAAUUCUAAGACUUGCUCUUUCUUUGUCUUUUUCCACCUCAAUCAGUGGCAUCUUGUUGCUCAGAGCAGAGACCUUGGGAUCACACUUGACUCUUUUCUUUCUCUCACACCCCUUUGGUUGUCUUAAUUUUUGUAAGAUAAUAAGAAUCUGACCAAUUUCUAUUACUUGUGCUGUUGCCAAUAAAACCACCGUAUCUUUUACCUGAUCUCCCUUGACCCAGAUAGUGUAUUCUCACCUCUUCCCUUAAGAGGGAAGUCACGUUUAAAUCUUUAGUGGCUAAUUAUACUACCCCAUUUAAAACUUAAGCUAGAAACAGGAUAUCUGUGAUCCCAGCUGGGGGAGCUGAGGCAGAAGGAUCACUGUGAACUCAAGGCCAUGGCGCCAGGCUACACAGGGAAUUCAGAGCUAGCCUGAUCUACCUAGUGAGACUCUGUCUCAAAGAACCAAACCAAAACAACUUAGGCUAUAGCUAUAGUAGUCGGAAAUGUACAUUUGCAGAGAUACAUAUACACAGAUCAGUAAAACAGAAAAGAGAAUCCAGAAAUAGACUCACACAGGUAUUUCCAACUAUUUUUGUAAAGGAGUUUUAGAAAUGGCCUUUUCCAUAAAUAAUUCUAUAGCAGUUUUGGCACCGGUGGCCAGAAAAUGCAAACCUUAACCUAGAACACAUUUUGUAUAAAAACAAACUCCAAAUGGACCACAGAUCUAAAUAUGAAACUUCUUUGAAGAGACCAAGGUUAGGCAGAGUUCUCCGAGAUAGUAGUGUUUGAUCUAUUUUAAAUCCUUUGCAGUAGCAAGUUAUUCCCUGAAAUUUGCUGUAGGGUUAGCAUGGAGUUUCAGCUUGGUUGGGUUGGGAUCAGCCUUGGGAAUUGGUGCUCACUUUUAGAAGGGUUGUGAAAGCCUGGCCUGAGGUCUGUGCCUGGUUGCUGGCCCCUCUGCUCUAGUAUUUUGUUCUACUUUGCCUCUUGGCUACCACAGACUAAGAGCUUUGCUCCAGCAAAUCCUUCCACUGUAAUUGUCUCUGCCUUGGAGUCAGCUAAUUAUGGAAUGAAACUGUAAAUUAAACCUCUCUUCCUCUAGGUUGUGGGUGUUGGUAUUGUGUCUCAGUGGCCAGAAAGCUAAUACAUAAGCAAUCCUUCCUCUCCUUCAAGUGUUAACUAAAUAGCACCUCAGUUAGUCAUGUUCUGAUCACUCCCUGUCCUCUCCUCUCCUUCUUUUAGUCAUUUGCAAAAGAUCUAACUCUCUGUUUCCUAUUUUCUGUCUUUUAUUUUGUGCUUUAUUUGUAAUUUGGGUUUUUAUGUAAGAGAAGUCAUGUGAUAUUUAAGCUUGUGUGCCUGAUUCAUUUCACUUAACAUUAUACUGGCCACUGUUUUUACUGAUGCAAAUCUCUAGUUUGUUGCCCUCCUGAGCACAUUACUCUGUUCCUUUGUGUGUGUGUGUGUGUGUGUGUAUUUUGCUGGGGAUCAAACUUAAAACCUUGUGAUGCUAGGCAAGUGUUACAAUACUCAGCUACAUCCCCAGCUGUUUUUUUCUAUAGCACAUGUCAUACCAUUUAAUUUACUGUGUUACUGUUUAUCUAUCUCCUAUUAGAAUGUAUGCUCCAGGCAAAAAUUUUUGCUUUAUUCUUUGGUAUAUUCACUUCCUAGAACAGUGCUGCACAUAGAAAGGACUCAAUAGGUAUCUACUGAUUGAAUAAACAUUUAUAUUUAAAUAUCAGAAAAUCAAUACAGAAUUGCUGUUGAAUCAGAAUGAGUAAUUUCCUGGCAGCUUAUUUAAUUUCUCUCUUGCCCCAUAUACAGGUCUCCAUUCAAUAUAUGAUUCUUAACACUGGACAUAGAAGGAAAAUAAGACUUAAUUAUUUGGUGUUGUAGGAAAACAAGAAAAGGCAGGAGUCGUGCCAGUAUUAAUCCUUGUUUCCCUCCCUUUUUGGUGUCAAGGGAAGUGGCUCUAUUUUCUCACCAUGUAGCUAUUCUGACUCAGGAUAGAUCAUAUGGAGAGCAGCAGCUCGUCUUAGAUUGUAACUCUGCUGCUUGGGCCCCAAUUUUGGUGGUUUUGCUUAUUCUUAAUUGGGUUGCAUCACAAAGCGAGAGGUGCACUGUGCUAGCUCCCUGCCUGCUGGUGACUUGGGGAAUAGUACUCUCUGCUCCUGUGCCUUAGAAAUAGGUCUGGCCCAGUCCUUCCCUAUGCCCAGUGUUACGGUGUGAGAAGCAGGCGCUUAGGAACCUUUAGGAACCAGAGGAGUAGUUAAAUCUCCAAGUAGCUUACUUGCUUUAUCUUGCCUACUGACACAGGUUUAGUAACCAUGGAAUGAAACAUACUGAUUGAGUGUACUGAUUAAACAUAGAAUUGUCUUUGACUCAUGCUUCAUUUUAGGCCAAAUAUUAUUUUACUUACAAAAAAUAAGGAUUUUUUCUCUUUUUCAAGGGGAGAGAAUUACCAGUGAUGUUCAGAGUAAUUGCCAACUGAGUAGCAUCUGCAAUACCAAUCUCCCCCUCAGUCUUACCUUGAAAAUGACCUCAUGUAGAAAAGUUGAUUAUUCUCAUGUUUCUGUUAACUGUUGAGCUUUGUUCUGUGGCUUAAUAGAAUCAAGCAAGCUCAUUAAAUUCAUAGAAAUUCCUUGAAGGUGAAGGCAGUUUCUAAGAAGGGGGGUCUUUUGGAGUACAGUAUUGGAAUUGGCCUUCAACGGUUUGUAGAAGCCAAGAUAUGCUGGGAACAUGCACAAUGUAAAAUGGGAUGAGGGUGGAGCAUGGUGGUUGACCUCUAUAAGCCUAGCUACUCUGGAGUGUGAGGCUGGAGGAGUCGGGUUGAGGGCAGAUUGGUCAAGAUAGGGAGAUCUUGCCAGAGACAGACAGACAGAAACAGAGAGAAAAAGAGGGAAGGAAGGAGGACAGAAGGGAGAGAAAAGAGAGGGGAAAAGAGUGAAUAGGGGUGGAAAUAAAGGAAAGGAGAUUUACUCGAACACAUUUAUAUGGCAGAGAACUAAUUACAUUUAAUCUUAUAAGAGGGUCUAUUUUAACAUUUUGGUAAGUAUUAGGGGACUUUAUUUACAAAGCAUUGGGAAGUGAUGUAUGCUUGAUUCUUACUCCAGCGGGCUCUCACCCCCUUAAUACCAUAAACUACUAUACAGCACAGGUUUAGACUGGUGAAACCUGGUUAAACUAACUAUUAAAGGCAACCUGACAGCAGGAAAGAUGCACCAAAAAGCAUGUGGAGAGGUUGAAGAAAUCGGAGUGGUUAGUCAUCUGGUAGACUAGGCUGCUACAGAGGUCAUUUGUGUUUAGAUCUGUGCUUUCGGAUCUCAGGGAGUGUCCUCCUCUCGGAAUACACAGUGGUGUGGUAACUUGGUCUGGAGUCAGACUGCUGGUGUUCCUGUCCCCGUGCUGUCUCCUCCCUGACUGUGUCACCUUGAGUAUCUGUAAAAUAGCGAUGAGGAUACCAAAGUUGUAGGCUAGUUACGAGGGUUAGACGGGCAUACACACAUGCCAAGAACACUUCCUGAUACAGUUAGCAUUCAUUCAGUGUUAUCCACUGUUAAUUGUCGUUAUUUCCCCAGUCUUUCCCCCAGCUGCUCAGGUAAAAGGGAGAGAUUGAAAGCUAGAAGGUAACAGAAGGACUGGACACUUUGGGUGGCACAGUUACCCUGGGCCAGAACUCUGGGGAAUCUCUUGCUGUCCAGUCUCUGCAGGUCAAUUCCUACUAGAGGCAGGACCCCUCCCUGCCCUACAUAAAGUGUCCUCCAUAAUUAUUUACAGAUGCCUGUGUAUUGUCAAUAUUAUACCUUUGGGCCUUUGUGAUGUCCAUUCCCUUACUGACCUGGUCCACUCUGCUGGCCCUUUCUCCACUCUGUCUUUUGUGCAAUGGCUCCUGUACCUAGUACUCACUGUAUUCAGCUAUUAUUUGUCUGCAUAUCAGUUUCCUUGUGGGACUCACUCUGUGAGGGUGGGGCUGUGACUUUCCCAUCUUGGUGACCACAGUGUUUGGCAUGGCACUAAGCAGACGUUCGAGGGACUGGGUCUUGGGAGCCAGCUGAAUAAUGCCCACUGGGGCUCAUCUGAAGUUAGUGUCUGGAUCCUGGGAGGACAGGGAGAAGUGACUCAGACGGUGCCUGUGAGGAUUCGCUGACGAGCGGAGCCCUGGGUGCAUGCAGAAGCUGCUGCUUCACAGAGCCCGAGGUAAGCAGGAGGGAAUCCAAAGAACUCAACCAUGCUUCAAGACAGUCACCCUGGGCUGUCUUAGAAAAACACAAUCCAGAAAACCUCUGAUCAGGCUAUCGCAUUGUUUUAUCUCAAAUCUUAUAUAAACUGUUUGCUUUUUAAACUCCUGAAUUGUUUUCUGUUUGCUUUAACUUUAUAUUUAGGCACUGUUUUGGGACAGUCUGUUCAUUUUUGUGUGUGUGUUUGUUUUGGCAGUGUAAGUAUUUGGAAUGAAAGAUCCUGUUUCAGAGUCAGAUAUGCUGGACUUUUGGUCCACAUAGAUUACACAUAGGUAGCAAAGGAUUGAGUUUUUUGUUUGUCUUGUUUUAUUUUUAUUUGUUGUUUUGUCUUUUUUAAAAAAUUUUAAACCAACUCUUAAGAGGGCCAGACACUAACCUAAUGUGUAUUGUGAUAUUAUAGUGCAGUCCGCCUACUCUUUCCGUUUUUUAAUUGGGAAAGCCUUGUAACCAGUUGGAGCACCAUCAUACAAAUUAGUCUUUGAGUCUUUCUUGAUAAUUUACAGAAAAGUAGAGCAAAUAAGAGAAUUUCUUUUAGAGGAUAUAAGGGAGAUUUCCCUCUAUUUUCCAAAAGAGAAAUUUAUGAAGAAACUUUAUGACAGCUUUUUGUGUAUAAAUUUCUGUGUUCAAAAAUUCAAAAAUAAUAGUUGAAUUUGUCAGCUUAAAGAAGUGAGGGGAGUUGGAACCUGGCUCUGGCCCUGCCUCUUUCCUGUCAGUGCGACAUGGACAUCUUUUCUCUGGGUCCCUGUGUUAGUUACAAAAUAUCUAACAUCCAAGUUUAAAGAAGGAAAAGUUUAUUUUGGCUCAUGGUUUGUAGAGCUAUCAGUCCAUAGUCAGCUGGCUCCAAGGCAGGCUGUCAUGGCCAAGGGGCAUCACAGAGGAGAAACAGCUCAUGACAAGCAGAAAGCGGCCAGUGUAGCAAGUAGUAAGUGACAAGUAGCAAUGACAGCAGCCAUCUUUCUGUCCCUUAUAUUCUGUCCAGUCUGCCCGCCUUUGGGGUCUAAGUCCCAGCAUCAAAUUCUUAAUCAGAUACUCUAGAUCUAGACACCUUCACAAAGCCCUACCUAUGACCACAUGAGGCCUUUGGGGAAUGUCUGGAUACAAGCCCUAAGAGUCCCAUUUUCUUCAUCUGUAAAUUUAGGAUGUUGGGUCUCUGAGGGUCCUUUAAAACUCUUAACUUUCUAGGAUUUUAACUUUUGGCCUACCAUUUAGAAUCUAGAGCUCCAACUCCGUUACAUGAUUCUGUGCUAGCCUAACCUUGAAGCUGUGAUGGAAGUCAGACUUUGCAGGAAGCCGGGAGUGGUCCAUUAGGCUGGAGCCCAGGAUGGGCUGAGGGAAAAUGACAGACUUGAGAGGCCAAACAUUGUGCUUCCCCGACCAGGUCAGUGAGGCAAGUGUGGUGGUGCCAAGCACAGAGAUGGUGCCACCGCAUGACAGUGUUGUACUGUUAUGGUGCUGAGCUGCUGUGGUGUCCUGCACCCUGGGGCCUACCUCAGCAGUAUCAUGCCAUGCUGCAAGAGUGCCCUGUGCGGUAUCUCGCCACAAAGGUGCCCUGUAACAACUUUUCUGUCUGCCGUGGGCAGUGGUGCGUGGCAUGCGCACUGCACAGUCCCUUGCCCCUCUGGUAUCGUGCAGACAGACACCCCUUGCAUAUCUGUCAUGUUGCUUUCUGCCUUAGGAUUACAGAGAGGUCAUUGUCCUUCACAUCGCACUGGCCCUCUGCACCCUGCGUUCUAAUCGUUCAUGUCCUUACGUAAGUUUCUCUCUUCAAACUAAAUUCUUCCCCAACCCCAGGCGUGCUUAUACAUUCACCCAGUAAGCCUUCUUGUGAGCUUAUGCUCCUCUUUGGGUUGUUUUUAUUUACCUCCUUGGUUGAAAGAAACAUUCUAAAUAUCUGAGAAGAACUUAGAUUUUUUUUUUUUUUGUAUGCUUCUGCACUUGGUGUGGUGCUUGGCAGAUUGUAUUUCUUUUUUUUAUUUUUUUAAUCAGUACUGGGGAUCGAACUCAUGACCAUGUGCUUGCAAGGUAGGCACUUAUGCCGCUGAGCUAAAUCCCCAGCCCCUAGACUGUAUUUCUUAAGUAUUAAGUAAUUAGUACUGUGAUUAGAAUUAGGUUCAGUGCAACCCUAACUGUGCUAAGGCAAGAUUGGAGUUUAUUCAUCUGUCAUGAAGAAGUUACCUUUGCUCCCUAGGGCUGCGUGAUGACUGUGUUUAUCAGGUCUUGAGGAGUCCUGCAUCCGGUUCCCUGACAUUGCCUUCAUUUUCAAGUUCAGUGGCAACAUCCCUUUCCAGGCAAGAUUAAGGAUAGAAUGAGGAAAGGAAGGCAAAAGGACGCAGCACUAUACAGGAAAGAUCACUGGAACAGUCCGUAAUCACGUCUGCUUGCUUUCCAUUAGGCAGAGUUUAAUCACAUGGGUACCCAAUGGCAGGGAAGGCUGGAACUCUACUUACUGGUUGAUUCUCAACUAAAAGUUUAACUAUUGGAAUGAAGGAAAAACAGGCAUUAGAGCGGUGAUGUAGUUACUUGGUGGAAGGUACCUCUACUGCUUGGGUAAUGCUACUCUCUUUGUGGAGAAAUUCAAGAAGUGUUUGACUUGGGUGCAGAAAUGCACCCUUUUAGGUUGUGGUUAGGGUACAAGAAAUGAUCAAAACAAUUAGAGUAGGAGUAAUACAGUAGUGCUACAUCAGAGGAGUGAGGAUGGGCAGGGCUGCCGCCAGGAAUCGCAUAAGAGGCCUCCCUGGUUUCCUUGACAAGAGUGCAGGGCUUUCCUGUCACAUAAACAAGACCAUCCCAUCCGUGAGUUUGAAAGUGUUUUCCUUCUUUUUCCAGUGCCACUAAACUACAGGAAUUCUGUGGCUUAUGGACAACAACCACUAAACCAAAAUAAUCUGUAUCAAGCCGUAAGACAUUCUUAUUUUACUAAAUUAUGUGUGACAAAAGAACAUAGCAACAAAAGAUAAUUCCGCAAAUGUUUUCUGAUAGAGUCUAGAGAACUAGAAAAUAGUCAUACAAACAAACAGGAAGAAGAAUGGGCCUGGAGAUUAUUUCACCUAGUAAGCAGUUUCUGGUAACUCCUACUUACAGACUGCAUGUGUGAGUUUAAAGCGAGUCUGUAAUAGCAACAUUUUCCUUCUCCUUGAGAUUAUUGCCUUAAUGUUAAGCAUUUAUUAGUCAUUGAAUCAUCUGUACCUGGAAUAGUAUCUAAAUUUAUCUUACCAGCUUUUAUCUGACUCCAUUUUUAGUGCAUGCUGUGAAAUAUGAAAUAGAUUUUUGUACAGUUUUUAAAAUCCUGAAUAUUAUACAAUCUAGAGCAAUGCAUUUUCCCCUUUAUUUAGCAUUUUUCUUUGGCCUUACUCUAAGCCAGAUUUGAGACCUCACCUUCCAUAUGUGUGUUUAGUCAUUCUUGGCCAUUUACCGUAAAGUAGCUGCUAGAUCAUACCUGUAUGAGUGGUGUUUACUCUGCUGCUGAAACAGGGUGUGUUUUCAUUGUUGUGCUGUUACAGAGCACUUUCUGUUUGGCUUGAUAUUUAUUUUUUCUUCUGUGGAUGGGAAAUUGAGCUCUUCCAUUUCCAUUUGGAAAAGAUUGCACGUUGCCUGCUGUACCUAAUACUAGUGCUAAUUAUUACUGGAGUGGAGAGUCUUGGGGGACAGAGAAUGAUGUGUUGAGGGACAGGACCUUACGGGACAGGCUUUGCCACAUGAGCAGCACAGAGUGUGACAUGCAUGGGCACCAGAGCUUUGUAAGGUUUGGGAUAAAUUCUUUUUCUGGCUGGUGUUGGGGUGUAAAACAUUGAGCUCCCUACUGUUAAGCAGUUUUGUGUCUUAGUGAGAUUCUCUGUUUUUGGUUUUUUUUCUUUUGAGACAGGAUCUCGCUGUGUAGUUUAGGCUGGUCUUGAGCUCACUUUGUGGCACAGAUUGGUCUCAAACUUGCAAUGAUUGUUCUGCCUCAGCCUACCGAGUACUGGGAUGACAGGUGUGCGCCACCAUGCCCAGCUUUAUUGAGGGUCUUAGAACUUGGUUAUGAAUGAUUCUUAUUGUGUGGCCUCUGAAGGAGGCUCUAAGUAUGGAUUAACCCUGAUAACCUUGGCUUCCCUGCUGAUUUCCUGUCUGAUUUGUAGGCCUUUCUCUCUCUCACUGACUCUCUGUCUUUUUUUUGAGACAGGAUCUUCCUACAUAGUUUUGAUCCCUUUAAACUCACUGUGUAGCCCAGGCCAGCCUUAAACUUGAUGUCAUCUUCUUGCCUUAGCCUCCUAAGUGCUGGGAUCACAGGUGUGCACCAUGACCGAGUUCUUUCAUUUUUGAAUGUACAGUGGAUUCUCUAGUUGUGACCCAUCUGACAUAGGAACCACUUGGAUUAUGAUCAUGUUGUAGUUAGAGGUUGUGAGGAGAACAAUUAAAAUCAGGACAUGGAAUUUAUAAUAUUAUUUUAUGAUGGUCACACAGAGUUAAUACAAGAAACUAUAGGAAAUCUAUCCACAACACCAAAGACAUAAAAUAUUCAGUCAAGGGCCUAAAUCCCACAGCAGUGACCUGCAUGAGGCCAGAGGAAGACCCAAGUCUCAUAACAGUGCUUCCCACAAGUCCAACUAGACGUUUAGAGCCCACAAGAAGGACUCACGCCAGUCUCUUUUAUGGAUCUGUACUGGAAGGCCCAAAGGUCAGCGGUGGAAGCUAGAAAGUCUGUGCCAGCGGGGUGAAGGAGCUGUGUGGUAGGUCAAGGGAUCUACACUGAAGCUGAGAAGUGACACUCAUAAUAAAGACCAGAGCUGUCCUGAAAAACACCACAGCUAUCCUCAGCGACACGGAGGCCCGAGCUCCUCUCACGAUAAGCACAGUUGAGCACAUGCCAGGAAGCCAGUGUGACGAGUUCAUCCUGGAGACCAAGCGGCACACGUCUUCCCCUCCAGAGCCAGGAAGCAAUGCUCGAUGUGAGGACCAGAGCUUCUCCAGAAGAACCAAGAGCUCAAACAGCAACAUGUAGGAGAAACCUCAAUGCCUCAACACCUCAACCCCUCAACGCUUCCCUUCUCCUUCUCCAUGUCUCUUAUUUAUGCUGGCAACUUUCCUGACGUGGAACAUCGAUGCUCAGCAUCAUAGUGAUUUCAUUCAGCUGGCAUUAAGUUGACCACCAGUUUUUAAUCUGUAACAGAUUAGAAUUUUAAUUUUAACUUACAACCAAAGUCUUGGGUUAUGACCUGAAUCGUGGCCUCUGUGCUUCUAGAUGGUCUCAGAUACAGUUGACCCUUUAAAGAGUUCUGGAAGGAAUAUUCAACAUUUUUUCCUGUGUGAGAUUGAUUGAGAAAUCCUGGGCCAACAUCUCUCUGAGCACACCGAGAUGUGCAGGACAGACUCUGAAGGCUAUGGAGAACUUGAGCCUUCAGGUGACAACCUGAGUUACAGCGAGCCCUCGGGGAACAAUUGGUUUGUAAGUCAGGGUCUGCUGCGAUUGGUACAUCCUUGAUUUUAGUAAAUCCUCAGAUUUACAGGCACAAUUACAACUGUAUUUCUAACAUUAAAUAAAGUGUUAACUGAAAAACUUCAGACUUUUAAUGAUUAUAAAGCAAUGACUAAAGCUAUAAAAUCUUAAUGUAUAUAAAAUUAGUAUAAAGCUAUACUUUGUAAACAUUCAUUGCGAUGUACAGACAAGAACUUCUCCUUACCUCUAGGAUUGGCAGGUGGGUAAAACUGGUUCUGCUCGAUCAUAAAACCUGCCCCCUAGACACAAAACCUUAUUGGUCCUUGGCCACAUGUUCCCGGUAUAUCGACCUCUCUCCUGAGGUGAGUCAGCCACAAAAAGCUUUUCUUCCAGACCAGCUUGGUGUGCACCAGACUCUUGUUCUGGGGACGUGUUGUACAUCAUGGGGUAACUGUUAGUACUAAACUGUUCUAGGAAAUAGCUAAAAGUAGAUCUUAGAUGUUCUCCCUACAAAAACAUUAGAAGGUUAAUGUAGCUUGAGUAAAUCUUUUUUUUUUUUAAAGAGGGCAGAAAAAAACAAGAAACAAAAGACAAACAAACCAACAAAACACCCAAAACAGUAAUAUUUUAGGCUUUCAAAACAAGAUGAUAGGAAUUUAACAAUGGUUGUUAUUUUGCAUAGUUGUCUUCAAAAGAGUUGCUCAGAUUCCCAGAUUGAUCUAAUCGUGUAUUAACAGUUGUUUCAAGACUAGUAGAAUUGUUACUACAGUCAUCUUAGCUGUCUUAUGUAUGUAUAUACUCAAAUGUAUAUCUUUUUUCUUUCCUUCUUUUUUCCUUUUCCUACCCAUGUUAUUUUUCCCUUUUGAACAGUUUCUUACCCUUUUAUAAUGUAUAUUGAAGAUUUUGGAUUUUAUUUACUCUUUCAGUUUCUUACACCAGGUAGACAAUAUGGAAUAUACACAUGUGAGGCUGAUUUAUUUCACGUAUGAGUAUGGUCUCAAGUCCUAUCCAAUUACCUAUAAAAAAGCCUCAAUAUGAUCCUUUUUUAUAGCUGAGUAGUACUCCAUUGUAUAACAAUACCACAUCUUUUUUAUCCAUUCCUCAGUUGAUGGGCAUUUAGGUUGUUUCCAAGAUUUAGCUAGUGCAAAUUGUGCUGCAAUAAACAUGGGUGCGCAUGUAUCACUGUAGUAUGAUGUUUUUAGUUCUUCUGGGAAUAUGCCAGAAGCAGGAUAGCUGAAUCAAAUGAGACCUCUAAUCUUAGAUUUUUAAGGAAUCUCCACACUGAUUUCCACAGUGGUGUGCCAGUCUACACUCACCAACAGUGUAAAAGAGUUCAUUUUUACCCACAGCCCAUCUAGCGUUUGUUAUUAGUUGAUUUCUUGAUCCUGGCCAUUCUUUCUGGAAUGAGAUGGAAUCUUACUGUUAUUUUAAUUUGUGUUUCACUAAUGACCAAUGAUCCUGAACAUUUUUUCCUAUAUUUAUUUGCCGUUUGUAUUUUUUCAUCUCAGAUGCCCAUCUGAUGGAUUGGGUCUUCGAAUUAUGGGAGCCUGAUUUUCUUUAAUUCUUUAUAUGUUCUAGAUAGAAGUCCUUUGUGCGACAGUCGACCAAGAUUUUUUCCCAAUUUGUUGGGUUUACUUUUUACUCUGUUGGAGAUUUCUUUGACAUGCAAAAACUUUUUAAUAAGACAUGAUCCCACUUGUUGAUUCUGGGUAAUAUUUCCUGUGCAGUUUGAUUUUUUUUUUUUGUUUGUUUUCUUUAUGAAUUCUCUGCCUACCCCCAUGUCUUCAGGAUUGCUACCUACUUUGCUUCCAGUAGAUUUAGUGUUUCUGUUUUUAAUAUUUAGAUUUUUGAUCCACUCUGACUUUAGUUUGGUGCAUGGUGAUAAAGUAUCAGUCUAGUUUUAGUUUUUGGCAUAUGGAAAGCCAAUUUUUCCAGCACCACUUAUUAAAGAGGCUAUCUUUCUUCCAGUGAACCUGUUUGGCCCCUUCAUCAAAGAUAACGUGGCUGAGUACGUUUCUCAUUGUGACUAUAUCUUCUAAUCUAUUCCAUUGACCUUCGGGUCUGUUUUUGUUCCACUACCAUCCUGAUUUUGUCACAGUAGCUUUGUAAUAUAAUUUCAAGUCAGGGAUUGUGAUGCCUCCUGCCUUGCCUUUUUGCCCAGAGUUGCCUUUGCUAUUCUUGGACUUUCCUGGUUCCAGAUGAAUUUUAGGAACAAUUUCUCUAGAUCUGUGAUGCAUGCUAAUGGUAUUUUGAUUGGAAUUGCAUUAAAUCUAUACACAAUUUUGGGAAAUGGCCAUUUUUUACAAUGUUUGUUCUUCCUAUCCAUGAACAAGGAAUGUCUUUCCAUUUUCUAAAAUCCUCUUCAAUUUCUUGUUUUCACAGUACUGUAAUUUUCUAUAGAUCUUUUACUUCCUUUGUUAGAUUGAUUCCUAAGUAUUUCAUUUUUUUGGAUGCCAUUGCGAAGAACGUGGUUUCCCUUAUUUCGUGCUCAGUGAGUUUGUUGUGUAUGUACAGAAAGGCUAUUGAUUUUUGAGUAUUGACUUUGUAUUCAGCUACAUUACUGAAUUUGGUUAUUACAUCUAGAAAUAUUUCAAUGGAAUUUUGGGAGUCUUCAAUGUAGAGUAUAAUGUCAUCUGCGAAUAAUAAUAAUUUAACUUCUUCCUUUCCUAUCCUUAUUCCUUUUAUUUUUCUCUCUUGGCUAAUUGCUUGGUUAAUGUUUCCAGCUCUGUAUUGAAUAGGAGUGGUGAUGGUGGACAACCUGGUCUUGUUAGAGUGGAAGCUUUUAGUUUUUCACCAUUUAGCACGAUGCUGGCUGUUGGUUUGUCAUAGAUGACUUCUAUCAGAUUGGGGUAAAGAUGCUCUAUUCCAAUUUUCCGUAGGGUUUUUAUCAUGAAUGAGUGUUGGACUUUAUCACCAGCUUUUUCUGCAUCUACUGAGAUGAUCAUGUGAUUCUUAUCUGACUAUUGAUAUGGCAUAUUUAUUGAUUUGCAUGUGUUGAACCAUUCCUACAUUUCUGGAAUGAAUCUCACUUGAUUGUGGUGUAUAAGCUUCUCAAUGAUUUGCUGCAUUCUGUUUGCCAGUAUUUUAUUGAGGAAUUUUGUGUCUAUGUUCAUUAGCGAGAUUGGCCUGUAGUUCUCUUUUUUGGUUGUGUCAUCUCUGGUUUAGGGUAAUACUCACUUCCAGGAAUGAAUUAGGGAGGCUUGCUUCCCUUUCAGUUUCACUGAAGAUUUUGAGGAGUGUUAGCAUUCAGUCUUCCCUAAAUUUCUUGUAGAAUUGAGCUAUGACUCCAUAGGACUUGGGCUUUUCUUUGUUGGUUAAGUUUCUAAUUACAUUUUCAAUUUAAUUAACUGAAAUUGGGUUAUUCAGCAGUUUUAUGUCUUCCUGAUCCAGCCUUAGUAACUCGUAUGUUUCUAGAAAUUUGUCCAUUUCUUCUGUUGUCGAGCCUAUGAGAGUAAAGGUUUUCAAAGUAGGUAUUGUUGAUCUUCUGUAUUUCCACAGGGUCUGUAGUGAUUUCACCCUUUUCAUUUCUUAUUGCAUAGAUUUGGGUUUUUUCUUUCCUUUUUAAAAUAAGGUUGGCUAGGGGCUUAUCACUUUAUUCUUUCAAAGAACCAACUCUGAUUUAUUAAUUCCUUGUAUUUUCUUAGUCUCAGUUGUGUUAACUUUUGCUCUGAUCUUUAUAAUUUCUUUCCUUUUGGCUUUGGGUUUGACUUGCUCUUCUUUUUCUAGAUGUUUGAGGUGUAGCGUCAGGUUAUUUAUUCUGUUCAUUCUGUUUUCCUAUUGUGACAAUUCAUUGCAAUAAGUUUCCUCUGAGGACUCCUUUCAUUGCAUUCCACAGGAUCCGGUAAAUUAUAUUUACAUUUUCAUUGACCUGUAGUUGUUUAAUUUCUUCUCUAAUUGUCUCUGUGACCCAUUGAUUAUUCAGGAGGGUAUUGCCAUGUGUUUAUGGGGUUUUUACAGUUUCUUUUUUCAUUAAUUUCCAGUUCUAUGGCACUAUGAUCAGAUAAUAUGCAUGGGAUAAUUUUGAUUCUUUUGCAUUUACUUCAACAUGUUCUGUGUGCUAGUAUAUGGUCUGUUUUAGAGAAUGUCCCAUGUGAAGCUGAGAAGAAUGUUUAUUCUAAUGCUGUUGGGUAGAAUACUCUGUACACAUCUCUUGUGUCUACUAAUUCACAAGUUUGAUUCCAUUCUGUAAUUUCUUUGCUGAUUUUUUUGUCUAAUUGAUCUGUCUCUUUGUGUCGGUAGGGUGCUUAGGCCUCCUGUUAUAAUUGUGUUAUUGCUUAUUUGAUUUUUCAUGUCUAUUAAUAUUUUAUAUAGCUGGGUACUCCCAUAUUUGAUGCAAAUAUAUUUAAGAUUAUUAUCUCUUCCUUUUGAUGUCUUCCCUUAACCAGUAUGUAGUGACUUUAUCUUUUGGUCAUUCUUGGUUUGAAGUUCACAUUGUCUGCAAACAGAAUAGCUACCCCUGCUUUUAUUUGGGUUCCUGUUGCAUGAAGUAAUAUUUUACAUCCUUUGACGUUCAGUGUAUGAAUUUCCUUUUGGAUUAUAUGGGUUUCCUGUAUACAGCAUAUGGUUGGAUGUUGUUUCUUGAUCUAUUCUGCCAUUCUGUUUCUUUUAAUUGGUGAAUUGAGGCCAUUUGCAUUAAUGGUUAUAACUGAUGCAUAUUGACUUUUUUUUUUUCAUGUUAUCUUUCUGCUGUUGGUUCUUUACCUUUCCCCUCUGUUUAAUUGUUUGCCCUGCUUGAUGGUUUUUUUCUGUUGGUGUUCUUGAAAUUGUAGCCAUUUUUAUAUCUAUGUAGAAUAUCUUUCAGUAUUCUUUGUAGGGUUGGUUUGGUGGCCAUGUUCUUUGUUGUGGAUAUAUCUUAUUUCUCCAUCUAUUUUGAAGGAUAGUUUCAGGGUAGAUCAAUCUGGGUGGAAAGUUGUUUUCUUUUAGGAUUUGAAAUACUUUAUUCCAUGCUCUUAACUUGAUCAUUUGUGUUGAGAAGUCUGCUGCUUUCCUUUAUAGGUGAGUUGUUUUUUUUCUCUAAUGGCUUUUAAUAUUCUAUUCUUACGUUGAAUUUCUGGGUAUUAUAUGUCUGAGUGUGGAUUUAUUUUGGUUAUGGCUAAUUGGAAUUCUAAAUGCAUCACUUAUCUGUAUGUCAGUUUCUUUUCCCAUGUUUGGGAAAUUUUCUGCUAUUUUGUAAGUAGUCUUUAUAUCAUUUGUGUAGUCACCUUUUGUUUACACCUAUCAAUCUUAUAUUGUUUUUCUUUGCAUCAUCUUGCAACUGUUGAAUUGUUAUUUUCUUUUCUUUUCUUUUCUUUUUUUUUGUCUUUUUCCUUUUUAUUGGUACCGGGGAUUGAAUUGUUAUUUUCUGAUUCCUCAUUAUUUUUAAAAGAUCUUUCCUUUCUUGUUCACUAGCUGCUAUUGUAAACCCAAAUAUCAAGUUCAGUCAUCCUAGUAUUGUAAUCCUCUUUCUAGUUUUCCUCACAAUCUGGAAAGUUAUAUAUGUAAUCUCAUUGAGACAUUUUUGGAAUCCCAGCAGGUUAAUUCCAAUCUACCAUCACCAAUGCGAUCCAUAAGGAGAGUAAAGACACAAAGGCAUAUUCCAAGUUAAGGGCAGCCAAGAGGUCCUAAAUCCAAUCCUGGAUAAGGUCAUGCAGACAAAGCCCUUGACCCUAAGCCUCUCCCAGAAUUUAUUACCUUGUGAGGAAGGAUGGGGGGUAACUCAGGAAUGAGUGACAGUGAGGAUGAUGAGUAACUUGAGCUGGCUGGCCAGGUUCAAGAUUGGCAUCUCUGUAAAUUGCAGAGACAAAGAUACCAGAAAGAUCAAUUUACAUAAUCCAAUUAAGGUAGCAGUGGAAUUGUUUUGGAGAGGCUCUCUCUUUGGGUUCUGAUAUGUAUGCAGACUCUUGUGCCCUGAGGAGUCAUAGCCUCUUAUGUUGAGGCUGUACCCAGUUGAUCUUCCCGGAACUAUUUGCUCUAACAUCUCAAGUGCUCAAUCCUGUAGUGUGGAGAACACUAUGAGAGGAAACAGGACUGUCUGAUGGCUAUAGAUUUUGCAUAUUAGCACCUUGCCUAGCCUUAUUUGCAAUGCUGAGAGCCAGUUGAAGAGAGAAGCCAGCCUUUUACAAUAUAAGGAAAUGAGUCUCCAAAUAUCAACGUGACAGUAAUUGUUUUGGAUUCAAAGGAAGUCACUGGGAUCGCCUCCCACAGCUGCAAUCUUGUCUUCAAGGUCUACCUUCACAUUCAUUCAGCUGGUUUUGCCAGCUUUUCCUGGAUAUCUGUUUGACUUUUUUUCAUGUAUUCUAAUUGUUUCAUAUAUUUUUCAUUCAAAGUUUCCGUCAUUUUUCAGUGCUUCUCUGUUUUUUUAAGUAUGUCUUUUUAGAUGUGUUCAGCAUUUCUUUCAUUACAUGCAUCAUUUCUUGUUUUACCUAGGAGAUUAUUUCUGAGUUCCUUUACAGCUCAUGGAGUUGUUUCUUUAUUUCGGUUGCUAUCAUUUCAGAAAUUUCAGGUGUGUGACUUACACUUUAUUCUAUGUCCAUGUCUCCGAAGCUUGUUUAGGGUAGACUAGAGGUUUUGAGAUUGCAUUUUGCUCUUUUGUUGGGUCAUUUUCCUGUAUUGUCCUCAGGCAGCUAAAUGCAUAGUCCCACUUGCUUUGUAGGUUGACCUUGGCUCUGUAGACUGGAGGAGGUUUCCCCAACUGAGUGGGGGUUGUUAGGCAGGUCUUCCCAGAUCCAGAGCAGCUCUCUGAUGCUCCCUGGAUGGCUGGAGUACACUGGGUGGGCCUUCAGCAGGCCCCACGUGGCACACCAAGGCCCUUUGGCUGCUUAGGGUUGCUGGGUGGGGCCCUACCUGGCCCUGAGUGGUGCACCAAGGCUCCCGGGCUAGGCCUUCAACGGGCAGGCCUUCAACGGGUGCACUGAUUGAUGCUUCCCAGGUACUUGGGGUCACUGGGGGUACCUUACCAGGUCUCCAGUGUGCACAGAGACUGACCAGCUAGGUGGAAUUUUCUGGGCAGGUCUUCAGUGUCUGGGCAGGUCUUCAGUGCCAUGCAGGGCAGUGAGGGUUGAGGGACCUUAUCAGGUCUUUUGUGUGCACAGAAGCUCUCUGGCUAGGUGGAAUAUUCUGGGCAGGCCUUGAGCAGGCACCACACAAUGCACCAAGGCUCUCCAGUUCCUUAGGGUCACUGGGUGGGACCCAAGUGGCACACCACACAGCUCCCUGGCUAAGUGGAGUGCCUGAGUGAAUCUUUCGUAAUGUAUAUAUUAUAUUGUAUAUCAUAAAUUCUGUGAUAUGUAUUAGCAAAUUUUACCUUAGUAAAUCUAGGGCAGCUUAUCUUAAAGAUAAGCUGUGAAUCAGCAGGCUGUGCUUCGAGGUAGCACUGGAGAGGCCUGUAGCAUACAAACUCAGAGCCAAGUGGCUUCACACCAGCUUCGAAGAACAGCUUCUGGCCUGACUUCCCACGUAGGUGCUGCAUGUCGAGGACCUGUUGCACUGUUCGUGCAUAUUCAGAGCUGUGAAGCCAUAUGUAUGAAGGCUGUCUGUCCAUUAUUUCGUACUCCAAAUGAAUUGUGUGCUUUUUCCAGAUCAAAUCAUAUUGAUUUUCCACAGGCUUUCUUGUGUCCCACACAAUGUCUUACCCAUGUUUUCAGUACCCUGUGAAAUAUUUUCAUUAAAUGAGUUAAACAGCAGUUAAAUAUGAAAUUAAAUGAUCUGAUUGGUAAGAACUGUUAUAGGCCAGGGAAAAGAAAUACAUGAACUGUUUGGAGUGAGACAAAGUUCCCAUCAGCUACUGAACUGUAUAUAUUGGUUCUAAAACUGAUACGUGAAAACUUAUUCUUAUUUAUCCAAUGCAUACUUCCAGGCAUUGAACUCACUAAGUGUGGGAAAACAGUGAUGACAACGCAGACAAAAUUUCUAUCC
Long non-coding RNA from Cavia porcellus (domestic guinea pig), 23177 nucleotides. RefSeq lists it as uncharacterized. The transcript has 2 exons. The record is from RefSeq and is a predicted model, not a curated record. Lineage: Eukaryota; Metazoa; Chordata; Mammalia; Rodentia; Caviidae.